Molecule: ribosomal RNA, 485 nt
Filed under: Euglandina immemorata
Lineage: Eukaryota; Metazoa; Mollusca; Gastropoda; Stylommatophora; Spiraxidae
Description: partial 16S ribosomal RNA
Rfam family: Bacterial large subunit ribosomal RNA
Source: RNAcentral
GCCUGUUUAUCAAAAACAUAGCUUGAUGUAGUUAUAUUAGGUUACCCCUGCUCAGUGAUUAAUUUUUAACAGCCGCAGUACACUGACUGUGCUAAGGUAGCAUAAUAAGUUGGCUUAUAAUUGAAGUCUUGUAUGAAUGGGGUUUAAUGGGUAGAAACUGUCUUUAUAGGUUUAUUUUAAAUUUAUUUAAGGGGUGAAAAUGCCCCUAACUAAAAAGAAAGACGAGAAGACCCUUAGAAUUUUUUAUAAAAGGUAUUUUUUUACUUUAGUAUUUGUUGGGGCGACAAGUUAGCAAACCUAUAACCUACUUAUAUUAACUAAACAUGAAAAGUAUAAUUAGACUGAUUAAUUACCUAAGGGAUAACAGCAUAAUCUUUUUUUUGGUUUGUGACCUCGAUGUUGGACUAGGGAUUUUUAAGGUCAGUCGCCUUAAUAAAUAGUUCUGUUCGAACUUUUCCGACCCUACGUGAUCUGAGUUCAGACCG